Molecule: long non-coding RNA, 177 nt
Organism: Leopardus geoffroyi (Geoffroy's cat)
Lineage: Eukaryota; Metazoa; Chordata; Mammalia; Carnivora; Felidae
Exons: 3
Source: RefSeq, a predicted model, not a curated record
GUUGCCUUUUAGUUUUGUUAAUUGUUUCCUUUGCUGUGCAUAAGCUUUUUAUCUUGAAGAGGUCCUAAUAGUUCAUUUUUGCUUUUGUUUCUCUUGCCUCCGGACACAUGUUGAGUAAGAGUUGCUAUGGCCAAAAUCAAAGAGGUUUUUCCCUGCUUUCUCCUCUAGGGUUUUGAU